This 253-nucleotide ribosomal RNA is filed under the name uncultured bacterium. RNAcentral's name for it is "partial 16S ribosomal RNA". It matches the Rfam family "Bacterial small subunit ribosomal RNA", at positions 524 to 776 of the family's 1533-position model. The record is from RNAcentral.
UACGUAGGGUGCGAGCGUUAAUCGGAAUUACUGGGCGUAAAGUGUGCGCAGGCGGCCGCGCAAGUCGCGUGUGAAAGCCCCGGGCUUAACUUGGGAAUUGCGCUCGAAACUACGUGGCUGGAGUGUGGCAGAGGAAGGUGGAAUUCCACGUGUAGCGGUGAAAUGUGUAGAGAUGUGGAGGAACACCAAUGGCGAAGGCAGCCUUCUGGGCCAACACUGACGCUCAUGCACGAAAGCGUGGGGAGCAAACAGG